RNAcentral lists this non-coding RNA (203 nucleotides) under uncultured Entomoneis. Lineage: Eukaryota; Bacillariophyta; Bacillariophyceae; Surirellales; Surirellaceae. The record is from RNAcentral.
GAAAGGUCUAGAUCUUUCCAAUAGUCGCAUGGGGCAUUUGGCAUUUGGAACCUUGGCAAAAUUACUGUCGAAAAUGACUUGCCUAGAAGAGUUAAAUUUGUGUGCGUGUUUCAAUCUCCUUGAACAAGACGCAAGUGUGACUGCAGGCUUUCAAGAGUUUGUGCAACAAUUGAAGUCAAACAAGUCCUUGAAGGAACUGUGGU